RNAcentral lists this ribosomal RNA (712 nucleotides) under uncultured bacterium. RNAcentral's name for it is "bacterial SSU rRNA". It matches the Rfam family "Bacterial small subunit ribosomal RNA", at positions 94 to 823 of the family's 1533-position model. The record is from RNAcentral.
AGCGGCGGACGGGUGAGUAACGCGUGGGUAACCUGCCCUAUACACACGGAUAACAUACCGAAAGGUAUGCUAAUACGAGAUAAUAUAAGAGAUUCGCAUGGAUUUCUUAUCAAAGCUGAGGCGGUAUAGGAUGGACCCGCGUCUGAUUAGCUAGUUGGUAAGGUAACGGCUUACCAAGGCGACGAUCAGUAGCCGACCUGAGAGGGUGAUCGGCCACAUUGGAACUGAGACGCGGUCCAAACUCCUACGGGAGGCAGCAGUGGGGAAUAUUGCACAAUGGGCGAAAGCCUGAUGCAGCAACGCCGCGUGAGUGAUGAAGGCCUUCGGGUCGUAAAACUCUGUCCUCAAGGAAGAUAAUGACGGUACUUGAGGAGGAAGCCCCGGCUAACUACGUGCCAGCAGCCGCGGUAAUACGUAGGGGGCUAGCGUUAUCCGGAUUUACUGGGCGUAAAGGGCGCGUAGGUGGUCUCUUAAGUCAGGAGUGAAAGGCUACGGCUUAACCGUAGUAAGCUCUUGAAACUGGGAGACUUGAGUGCAGGAGAGGAAAGUGGAAUUCCUAGUGUAGCGGUGAAAUGCGUAGAUAUUAGGAGGAACACCAGUAGCGAAAGGCGGCUUUCUGGACUGUAACUGACACUGAGGCACGAAAGCGUGGGGAGCAAACAAGGAUUAGAUACCCUGGUAGUCCACGCCGUAAACGAUGAGUACUAGUUGU